AGAGUUUGAUCAUGGCUCAGAACGUACGCUGGCGGCACGCCUAAUACAUGCAAGUCGAACGAAGUAGCAAUACUUAGUGGCAGACGGGUGAGUAACAUGUAGGUAUCUUCCCAUCGGUGAGGAAUAACACGAGGAAACUUGUGCUAAUACCUCAUAAGUCUUUACGGAGAAAGCUUUAUGCGCCGAUGGAUGAGCCUGCACUUGAUUAGUUUGUUGGUAGGGUAAUGGCCUACCAAGACAAUGAUCAAUAGCUGAUUUGAGAGGAUGAUCAGCCACAUUGGGACUGAGACACGGCCCAAACUCCUACGGGAGGCAGCAGUAGGGAAUCUUGCACAAUGGGGGAAACCCUGAUGCAGCGAUGCCGCGUGAGUGAAGAAGGCCUUUGGGUUGUAAAGCUCUUUCGUCGGGGAAGAAAAUGACUGUACCCGAAUAAGAAGGUCCGGCUAACUUCGUGCCAGCAGCCGCGGUAAUACGAAGGGACCUAGCGUAGUUCGGAAUUACUGGGCUUAAAGAGUUCGUAGGUGGUUAAAAAAGUUGGUGGUGAAAUCCCAGAGCUUAACUCUGGAACUGCCAUCAAAACUUUUUAGCUAGAGUAUGAUAGAGGAAAGCAGAAUUUCUAGUGUAGAGGUGAAAUUCGUAGAUAUUAGAAAGAAUACCAAUUGCGAAGGCAGCUUUCUGGAUCAUUACUGACACUGAGGAACGAAAGCAUGGGUAGCGAAGAGGAUUAGAUACCCUCGUAGUCCAUGCCGUAAACGAUGUGUGUUAGACGUUGGAAAUUUAUUUUCUGUGUCGCAGCGAAAGCAAUAAACACACCGCCUGGGGAGUACGACCGCAAGGUUAAAACUCAAAUGAAUUGACGGGGACCCGCACAAGUAGUGGAGCAUGUGGUUUAAUUCGAAGAUACGCGCAGAACCUUACCAACACUUGACAUGUUCGUCGCGACUUUAAGAGAUUAAAGUUUUCGGUUCGGCCGGACGAAACACAGGUGCUGCAUGGCUGUCGUCAGCUCGUGUCGUGAGAUGUUGGGUUAAGUCCCGCAACGAGCGCAACCCUCACUUUUAGUUGCCAUCAUUUAGUUGGGCACUCUGAAAGAACUGCCAGUGAUAAGCUGGAGGAAGGUGGGGAUGACGUCAAGUCCUCAUGGCCCUUACGUGUUGGGCUACACACGUGCUACAAUGGCAUUUACAAUAGGAAGCAAGACGGCGACGUUAAGCAAAUCCUAAAAAAAUGCCUCAGUUCGGAUUGUACUCUGCAACUCGAGUACAUGAAGCUGGAAUUACUAGUAAUCGCGGAUCAGCGCGCCGCGGUGAAUACGUUCCC
This 1320-nucleotide ribosomal RNA is filed under the name uncultured bacterium. Its description in RNAcentral is "bacterial SSU rRNA". It matches the Rfam family "Bacterial small subunit ribosomal RNA", at positions 8 to 1375 of the family's 1533-position model. The record is from RNAcentral.